GCGUAAAGAGCUCGUAGGCGGUUUGUCGCGUCUGCUGUGAAAACGCGAGGCUCAACCUCGCGCCUGCAGUGGGUACGGGCAGACUAGAGUGCGGUAGGGGAGACUGGAAUUCCUGGUGUAGCGGUGGAAUGCGCAGAUAUCAGGAGGAACACCGGUGGCGAAGGCGGGUCUCUGGGCCGUAACUGACGCUGAGGAGCGAAAGCAUGGGGAGCGAACAGGAUUAGAUACCCUGGUAGUCCAUGCCGUAAACGUUGGGCACUAGGUGUGGGGCUCAUUCCACGAGUUCCGUGCCGCAGCAAACGCAUUAAGUGCCCCGCCUGGGGAGUACGGCCGCAAGGCUAAAACUCAAAGGAAUUGACGGGGGCCCGCACAAGCGGCGGAGCAUGCGGAUUAAUUCGAUGCAACGCGAAGAACCUUACCAAGGCUUGACAUACACCGGAAAGAUGCAGAGAUGUGUCCCCCGCAAGGUCGGUGUACAGGUGGUGCAUGGUUGUCGUCAGCUCGUGUCGUGAGAUGUUGGGUUAAGUCCCGCAACGAGCGCAACCCUCGUCCUAUGUUGCCAGCACGUAAUGGUGGGGACUCAUAGGAGACUGCCGGGGUCAACUCGGAGGAAGGUGGGGAUGACGUCAAAUCAUCAUGCCCCUUAUGUCUUGGGCUUCACGCAUGCUACAAUGGCCGGUACAAAGGGCUGCGAUACCGCAAGGUGGAGCGAAUCCCAAAAAGCCGGUCUCAGUUCGGAUUGGGGUCUGCAACUCGACCCCAUGAAGUCGGAGUCGCUAGUAAU
This 784-nucleotide ribosomal RNA is filed under the name uncultured bacterium. RNAcentral describes it as "bacterial SSU rRNA". It matches the Rfam family "Bacterial small subunit ribosomal RNA", at positions 558 to 1342 of the family's 1533-position model. The record is from RNAcentral.